ACUCCUACGGGAGGCAGCAGUGGGGAAUUUUGCGCAAUGGGCGAAAGCCUGACGCAGCAACGCCGCGUGAGUGAUGAAGGCUUUCGGGUCGUAAAGCUCUGUCAGGGGGAAAGAAGUGUAGUGUGGUUAAUACCCAUGCUACUUGACGGUACCCCCAAAGGAAGCACCGGCUAACUCCGUGCCAGCAGCCGCGGUAAUACGGAGGGUGCAAGCGUUGUUCGGAAUUAUUGGGCGUAAAGCGCGUGUAGGCGGUUUGUUAAGUCUGAUGUGAAAGCCCCGGGCUCAACCCGGGAAGUGCAUUGGAAACUGGCAGACUUGAAUACGGGAGAGGGUAGUGGAAUUCCUAGUGUAGGAGUGAAAUCCGUAGAUAUUAGGAGGAACACCGGUGGCGAAGGCGGCUGCCUGGACCGAUAUUGACGCUGAGACGCGAAAGCGUGGGUAGCAAACAGGAUUAGAUACCCUGGUAGUCCACGCCGUAAACGAUGAGAACUAGGUGUUGCGGGUAA
This 506-nucleotide ribosomal RNA is filed under the name uncultured Geobacter sp. RNAcentral describes it as "bacterial SSU rRNA". It matches the Rfam family "Bacterial small subunit ribosomal RNA", at positions 335 to 832 of the family's 1533-position model. Lineage: Bacteria; Pseudomonadati; Thermodesulfobacteriota; Desulfuromonadia; Geobacterales; Geobacteraceae. The record is from RNAcentral.